RNAcentral lists this ribosomal RNA (476 nucleotides) under uncultured bacterium. RNAcentral describes it as "bacterial SSU rRNA". It matches the Rfam family "Bacterial small subunit ribosomal RNA", at positions 338 to 805 of the family's 1533-position model. The record is from RNAcentral.
CCUACGGGGAGGCAGCAGUGGGGAAUAUUGGACAAUGGGCGCAAGCCUGAUCCAGCCAUACCGCGUGAGUGAAGAAGGCCUUCGGGUUGUAAAGCCCUUUUGUUGGGAAAGAAAUCCAGCUGGAUAAUACCCGGUUGGGAUGACGGUACCCAAAGAAUAAGCCCCGGCUAACUUCGUGCCAGCAGCCGCGGUAAUACGAAGGGGGCAAGCGUUAUUCGGAAUUAUUGGGCGUAAAGCGCGCGUAGGUGGUCGUUUAAGUCCGUUGUGAAAGCCCUGGGCUCAACCUGGGAACUGCAGUGGAUACUGGGCGACUAGAGUGUGGUAGAGGGUAGCGGAAUUCCUGGUGUAGCAGUGAAAUGCGUAGAGAUCAGGAGGAACACCCAUGGCGAAGGCAGCUACCUGGCCCAUCACUGACACUGAGGCGCGAAAGCGUGGGGAGCAAACAGGAUUAGAUACCCUGGUAGUCCACGCCCUAA